UACAGUAGAGGUCUGACCCACAGGC
Molecule: non-coding RNA, 25 nt
Filed under: Cricetulus griseus (Chinese hamster)
Lineage: Eukaryota; Metazoa; Chordata; Mammalia; Rodentia; Cricetidae
Source: RNAcentral